RNAcentral lists this long non-coding RNA (634 nucleotides) under Fukomys damarensis (Damara mole-rat). RNAcentral's name for it is "lncRNA (ENSFDAG00000032721.1)". Lineage: Eukaryota; Metazoa; Chordata; Mammalia; Rodentia; Bathyergidae. The record is from RNAcentral.
GGAUAUUAGGAACCAGCUUCCACAUGAGCUGUGUCCUGGGAUUGACCAGGGAGAUGAAGGGUGUCAAGACUAUAAGAAAGGAGAGUCUGUGGUGUCCACACUUGGAGUUUGGAAGCUCAUGUUAUCUCUCCUGUGCCCUAUCAGCAUCAUGGUGGUGGCAGCUCCGACUCUGCCUGCUCCUGCAUGACAUUUGCCAAAUCAUGCUGAAGAAGGAUAGGAAAUACCAGAAGGGGACAACAUGGCGGAGAAAUUUGAUGUUGUGUCCCCAUUUGCAAGUGUCCAUUAGGGUCCUCUGGAAGCGGACUGAAAUGAAUCCUUAUGCCUCUCUGGAGAGGCAGCUGUUCUCCCAGACCCGGCAGGAAGCUCACGUGGACACAUGAAUUUUGUAGUGCAGACAUAGAAAACAGGGAAUGAAAAAAGAAAAGAGAAAAGGGGAGAGAUCUGAAGCCAGAGUGGGCGUUGCGCCCUAGAACUGCCGACAGUUGCAGCCUAGAUAUGACGUGCAGCAGAGACGUCCCAGAUCUCCCAAGCAGAGUUCCGGCCCACUUUGAAGUGUUGACAAUAUGGAAAAUUAAAAGCAUCACAAUGAGAAUUAUCACAUUGUUUUUUCCACUUUGAUAGCCUCUACAAAGCA